AAACUGUCCAUCAGUCAACGAUGAAUUCACAUAGAGCAAGGCUGACAACUGACCUGCUUGUGUCCCUCUGUCAGAAAUGGGGUCGGAGCCAUUCACCUGUGUCAAGCAGUGGAAAUGCUGUGGGAAGCAAAGUCAGCAGUCGAACCUUGCAGGAGGCAGCAGGAGGUGUGCAGUGAGGACACGCGUGUGACCACGGGACGUGGGACGAGGGGAGGCAUGGGAUAAGGAGAUGCGUAGAGUGAGGAUUUCUGUGGAGUGAGGUGAUGCGUGGAGUGAGGUGAUGCGUGGAGUGAGGAGAUGCGUGGAGUGAGGAGAUGCGUGGAGUGAGGAGAUGCGUGGAGUGAGGAGAUGUGUGGAGUGAGGAGAUGUGUGGAGUGAGGUGAUGUGUGGAGUGAGAUGCGUGCAGUGAGGAGAUGUGUGGAGUGAGGUGAUGUGUGGAGUGAGGUGAUGCGUGCAGUGAGGAGACGCGUGCAGUGAGGAGGUGAGUGGCGUGCGGAGUGGAGGGCUGGGAAACCACACCUGGGGCGGUUCUCCAGUUGCCCAAUCUUUAUCAAGCCCCUUCCUCCUCAUCUUUAAAACCAGAAGGCUGGCCAGUCAGUCUCUCAGGCCUCUCCCUGUUCUAGCCCCUGUGAUUCAGUAACAGCCCCACAGCUGCCAUAUCAGCCGGUUUUGCAGGGCUGAGCAUGGAAGGUGCCUGAGAGUGUGGCCAGCUCUCGGCAGGAGCAGGACUCUGCACUACAGGCUUCUAAGGCAGAAAAGCAUCUUCUGUCCACGACGACAAGGGUGUUUCCGCUGCAAGCGCUUCUCGCAUGCUUGAGACAACCUGACUGAGGGGUUGCCAGCAGGGGUGGGCACCAGCCGCACAACAAACCAAAUGACCUCUGCGGCCCAUUCCUUAAGACCGGGAACUCUGGACUAAAGUGUGCUGCCCUGUGUGCCCAGCAACCUGGCGACAGCAGUCGUUUCACACACAGCCCGAGCCCUGCUGUCCCUGGGGCACCAGCUUACCAGGGCCAUCUUCCCAGACAGCAGCAGCUCCGUCUCACUGCGCAGAGCUCUGAAGUUAUUCACCAUUUCCAGGACGAAGCUGCAGUUGAGCCCCUAGAAGAAACCAGGCAAAUAUGCAUGGGGGCGGGGGGCCGAACAUGCACGGUUAGGGGCAGGGAACAAGCACUGGGAGGGCCGAACAUGCACCGGGGAGGCGGGGGAAUGAACACGCACGGGGAGGGCCGAGGGCGGCAGACACUGAGAAGAAGCCAGGACUGAAAAGGCCAGAAUAGCUACCUCUGUGGUUCUGGGCUUGCCAUACACACGGUCCAUGGACUUGGAGCUGGCAUUGACGGCGUGGGCCAGUUCCUGCUCCAUGUCCCGGUGAGACUGAGCUAUUUCUCGGAUACUAGAGAGGAAGAGAAGCACGGGCAGAUGUCAGGCCAAAUGGAAGGGCAGCCUUUCACAAUACGCAUCUGAACACGGCCCAGGUACCACCUGGAGGGCUGAUGUGGAGGGCAGGCCCAGCAGGACGACAGGGAUCGUGGCUCAGCCCAGCGACCGUUCAGUCACAAGCUUGGGCACAGGAUGACCCACAGCAAAUGGGAGGGCUUCCACGAGAAAUCUGACGUCAAAAUCCAAGAUUUUCCAGGGAGAGAAAUGUACAAAAUGAGGCUUACAACCUGUAAAACGGCCAGUGGGCAAGUGACAGUGUGCACAGGCCCACUGCA
RNAcentral lists this long non-coding RNA (1718 nucleotides) under Homo sapiens (human). RNAcentral's name for it is "non-protein coding lnc-USP40-2:1". The record is from RNAcentral. Lineage: Eukaryota; Metazoa; Chordata; Mammalia; Primates; Hominidae.